Molecule: ribosomal RNA, 1364 nt
Filed under: Staphylococcus aureus
Lineage: Bacteria; Bacillati; Bacillota; Bacilli; Caryophanales; Staphylococcaceae
Description: bacterial SSU rRNA
Rfam family: Bacterial small subunit ribosomal RNA
Source: RNAcentral
GCCUAAUACAUGCAAGUCGAGCGAACGGACGAGAAGCUUGCUUCUCUGAUGUUAGCGGCGGACGGGUGAGUAACACGUGGAUAACCUACCUAUAAGACUGGGAUAACUUCGGGAAACCGGAGCUAAUACCGGAUAAUAUUUUGAACCGCAUGGUUCAAAAGUGAAAGACGGUCUUGCUGUCACUUAUAGAUGGAUCCGCGCUGCAUUAGCUAGUUGGUAAGGUAACGGCUUACCAAGGCAACGAUGCAUAGCCGACCUGAGAGGGUGAUCGGCCACACUGGAACUGAGACACGGUCCAGACUCCUACGGGAGGCAGCAGUAGGGAAUCUUCCGCAAUGGGCGAAAGCCUGACGGAGCAACGCCGCGUGAGUGAUGAAGGUCUUCGGAUCGUAAAACUCUGUUAUUAGGGAAGAACAUAUGUGUAAGUAACUGUGCACAUCUUGACGGUACCUAAUCAGAAAGCCACGGCUAACUACGUGCCAGCAGCCGCGGUAAUACGUAGGUGGCAAGCGUUAUCCGGAAUUAUUGGGCGUAAAGCGCGCGUAGGCGGUUUUUUAAGUCUGAUGUGAAAGCCCACGGCUCAACCGUGGAGGGUCAUUGGAAACUGGAAAACUUGAGUGCAGAAGAGGAAAGUGGAAUUCCAUGUGUAGCGGUGAAAUGCGCAGAGAUAUGGAGGAACACCAGUGGCGAAGGCGACUUUCUGGUCUGUAACUGACGCUGAUGUGCGAAAGCGUGGGGAUCAAACAGGAUUAGAUACCCUGGUAGUCCACGCCGUAAACGAUGAGUGCUAAGUGUUAGGGGGUUUCCGCCCCUUAGUGCUGCAGCUAACGCAUUAAGCACUCCGCCUGGGGAGUACGACCGCAAGGUUGAAACUCAAAGGAAUUGACGGGGACCCGCACAAGCGGUGGAGCAUGUGGUUUAAUUCGAAGCAACGCGAAGAACCUUACCAAAUCUUGACAUCCUUUGACAACUCUAGAGAUAGAGCCUUCCCCUUCGGGGGACAAAGUGACAGGUGGUGCAUGGUUGUCGUCAGCUCGUGUCGUGAGAUGUUGGGUUAAGUCCCGCAACGAGCGCAACCCUUAAGCUUAGUUGCCAUCAUUAAGUUGGGCACUCUAAGUUGACUGCCGGUGACAAACCGGAGGAAGGUGGGGAUGACGUCAAAUCAUCAUGCCCCUUAUGAUUUGGGCUACACACGUGCUACAAUGGACAAUACAAAGGGCAGCGAAACCGCGAGGUCAAGCAAAUCCCAUAAAGUUGUUCUCAGUUCGGAUUGUAGUCUGCAACUCGACUACAUGAAGCUGGAAUCGCUAGUAAUCGUAGAUCAGCAUGCUACGGUGAAUACGUUCCCGGGUCUUGUACACACC